GGCUUAGAGUUUGAUCCUGGCUCAGAACGAACGCUGGCGGCGCGCCUAAUACAUGCAAGUCGAGCGAGAAGACGUAGCAAUACGUUUGUAAAGCGGCGAACGGGUGAGGAAUACAUGGGUAACCUACCCUAGAGUGGGGAAUAACUAGCCGAAAGGUUAGCUAAUACCGCGUACGCUUCUUGGACUUCGGUUCAGGGAGGAAAGCGCUACCGAGGGUAGCGCGCUCUUGGAUGGGCUCAUGUCCUAUCAGCUUGUUGGUGAGGUAACGGCUCACCAAGGCUUCGACGGGUAGCUGGUCUGAGAGGACGAUCAGCCACACUGGCACUGCGACACGGGCCAGACUCCUACGGGAGGCAGCAGUAAGGAAUAUUGCGCAAUGGGCGAAAGCCUGACGCAGCGACGCCGCGUGGGGGAUGAAGGUCUUCGGAUUGUAAACCCCUUUCGGGAGGGAAGAUGGAAUGGGGUAACCCAUU
RNAcentral lists this ribosomal RNA (473 nucleotides) under uncultured bacterium. Its description in RNAcentral is "SSU rRNA". It matches the Rfam family "Bacterial small subunit ribosomal RNA", at positions 1 to 468 of the family's 1533-position model. The record is from RNAcentral.